UUUCAAAUGACAUUCUCCAUUUAUUUAUUUUCUACUUUGAAAUGGUGUUUGUAUUUUGAUUCUUAUUGUCAUUAUUUUCUUAAAGUAAUUUCUUCAUGGGUGUUGAGUUUUUGUGAAGUGUAGAAUGCUUUUAUUGUGAAAUUAGAUGCAUAAACUGGAUCUCAAAGAGAAGAAGCUGUAUUGGAUUUUCUUUAAUUUUGCGGUUGAGGUAAGCCUUGCUGUUUCUUGGAUUUUUAAACAGGGAGAUUUCUAACCUGGUACAGGACAUGAAUUUUCUUCCUGUGCGUAGCUCAAGAAUGGGAUACCUUGCACAAUGAUCCGGUGAUCCUUGCAGUUCGCUAUGUUAUAAAGAUGCAACGGUCAUAAUACUGAGGUCAUGGUUUUUUCCUCAUUGCACCAUGUUAUAAUAUCUGUACUUUUUCAUUCUUUGAGAGAAUUUUGAGUGGAAAUGGAAUCACUAUGGGCCCCCUGGAACUCCAUUACUUCUGCACUAGUCUUAAGUGAUAGUGGCCAUACAUCCAUGUGUUCUUUUACCUGUGGUUUGAGCAUGGUAGGCCAGCAGUUGUAUCUUGGAACAUAAGGCUCCAAUUUAUCCAGCUCCAGAUAAUGGUGACAUGCUGGUGAGGUAAAAUAGAUCAUUUUAAAUUCUAUAACACAUGGCUAUAUGGUGACUGCGAGUUGAUAAGGCUUGGACUCUGAUUUCUCCUUUCUUUUCCAUAGUAAUGAUUUUUUUUUUUUUGGAGUUCUUCUUCUUUGUUUCUGCAAUGGUAUGUUGAUUUCUUAUAAGUCGACAUCCUGAUGGUUUAAGUGUUUGGAAUUGUGGCUGGUAUUUUCUCUCGAGUUCUCAUCAUGUUUAGGAAUUGGGCUACUUGAGCUGGUCGUGUUGGGGGUCUUACUAUCCAGGGGAUGGUUUUUGUACAGCUAUUGUUUCUUUUAGUUCCUUUUCGUUCUCUCUUUUGUUGUAUUUUCUUUUCUUUUGGUAGUCUGCUCUCUCUCUCUCUCUCUCUCUCUCUCUCUCUCUCUCUCUUGUUUUGUUCAGGCUGGUGCUAAACAUGUUUAUGCGGUGGAGGCAUCUAAAAUGGCAGAAUAUGCACGCUGGCUUAUUGUUGGGAAUCCAUCAUUGAGAGAAUGGAUUACGGUGAUCAAAGGUAAAGUUGAGGAUGUUGAAUUGCCUGAGAAAGCAGGAAUUCUAAUUUCUGGGGCUAUAUGAUUCAGAAGGGUGUUGCAGGGAACACAAAUCCAUUGCCAAAAUAUCAUAUCUGAGGCAACAUGAUUGUGUUGAGAUUUCCAUCUUAUUUCCAUGGUUUCUUUAUUUGUGUUGAAAUUUCAAGUCUCUUGGACUGAGGGAAAAAACCCAUCUCUGUUUUUCUUCUUUCCUUUUCUUUUCUUUAUGUUUUUUCAUGUUUUACGGAUUGGGAUUCCAAGUCUAUUUGACUGAGAAUUGAAGACUCUUUCUGGGUUUUCUUGGGUUUUAUUUGAGAGGAAAAACCCAUUAAAAUAUUGUAGCUAAUGUUGUGGAUC
Molecule: long non-coding RNA, 1521 nt
Organism: Magnolia sinica
Lineage: Eukaryota; Viridiplantae; Streptophyta; Magnoliopsida; Magnoliales; Magnoliaceae
Exons: 2
Source: RefSeq, a predicted model, not a curated record